This is a long non-coding RNA of Zonotrichia albicollis (white-throated sparrow), 1992 nucleotides long. The record is from Ensembl. Lineage: Eukaryota; Metazoa; Chordata; Aves; Passeriformes; Passerellidae.
GGUUAAAUCCAUAGGGAAAAAAUUGAGUUUUUCCAGUGCAGCUGGGCCAUUUCUGCUGAGCUGCCACGAGAGGGACACAGAAGGAAAGCAAAAGGAGCUGGGAAGGGAAGGAUCCAAGGAAGAGCUCGAGGUUUAAUUGGGGAUAAAUAUUCCCAGAACAAGUCAGGGGGAUGUAACUCCAUGAAGGAAAAGGAGGAGGAGAAGAUUUUGGGCAAAAUCCAGGGAUUUUGAAUGAAGACAAUUCUCAGAAAUUAAUGGAUUCUGUGGAUUUCGGGAGGAACCCGGCCAGGGCUGCCCUCAGGCCGUGAAUGGCCCCAGUGUAGUUCUGCGAGGCCUUCCCAGAAGUGAGGAGCUCCUUGGAGAUGAGCCCAGGAACCAUCAGCCAGCCUGGGAGGAGAUCAAGGGGGCUGUGGGCUCCCGGGCUGCCCCACGGCCCCGAGGGGAACAUUCCCAGGGCAGCGUGGGCCCGACACCCUGGGACUGAGAGCACAGAGAGCACAGAGAGCACAGAGAGAACAGAGAGCACAGAGAGAACAGAGGCACCCUUGAACUCUGCCUGUGCCCCUGCCUGCUGGGAAGGCUUCCCCUCAUCCCCCAAUGUUCAGGGCUAUGACAGCUGCUCCUUUCCCUUUUCCCCUUUUUCCCCUCAUCCCCCAAUGUUCAGGGCUAUGGCAGCUGCUCCUUUCUCUUUUUCUCCUCAUCCUCCUGAUAUUCAGGGCUCUUCCAGCUGCUCCUUUUCCCUUUUUCUCCUCAUCCUCCUGAUAUUCAGGGCUCUUCCAGGGCUCUUCUUGCUCCUUUCCCUUUUCCCCUCAUCCUCCCCAUGUUCAGGGCUCUUCCAGCUGCUCCCUUUGCCAAAGAUGAUCCCUUUUCCCUUUUCCCCUUUUUCCCCUCAUCCCCCAGUGUUCAGGGCUCUUCCAGCUACUCCUUUCCCUUUUUCUCCUCAUCCUCCUGAUAUUCAGGGCUCUUCCAGCUGCUCCCUUUGCCAGGGAUGAUCCCUUUUCCCUUUUACCCCUCGUCCCCUCAUGUUCAGGGCUAUGACAGCUGCUUCUUUUCCCUUUCCCCCUCAUCCUCCUGAUAUUCAGGGCUCUUCCAGCUGCUCCCUUUGCCAGGGAUGAUCCCUUUUUCCUUUUACCCCUCGUCCCCUGAUGUUCAGGGCUCUUCCAGCUGCUCCUUUCCCUUUUACCCCUCAUCCCCCAGUGUUCAGGGCUCUUCCAGCUGCCAAGGAUGAUCCCUUUUCCCCCUCAUCCCUCUGAUGUUCAGGGCUAUGACAGCUGCUUCUUUUCCCUUUCCCCCUCAUCCUCCUGAUAUUCAGGGUUCUUCCAGCUGCUCCCUUUGCCAAAGAUGAUCCCUUUUCCCUUUUUUCCCCUUUUUCCAUGUGGGCAACAAGGCUGGUGAGGGACCCAAACCACCAUCACUGUGGGGAAACCAUCCCCACAUUGCAUUGUGCUGUGGCACAAACACAGGCACGGAAAAUGAGAUCAGAAUAUUCCUGGGAAGAGCUGUGCCUUGCUUUUCUCUGUGCAGAGCAACGUGGGGCUGUUUCCUGACAGGCCAAGGAACCAAACACCCUCACUGUGGGUGAACAAUCCUCAUUUUGCAUUCUGCUUUGGCACAACCACAGGCACAGCAAAUGAGAUCAGAAUAUUCUUGGCAAGAUUUGUGCCUUGCUUUUCUCUGUCAAGAGAAAUGUGGGGCUACACACUUGGUCCUGACAGGCCAAGGAGCCAAAACACCAACAAUCCCCACACUGCAUUGUGCUGUGGCACCAACACAGGCACAGCAAAUGGUAAGAAUUGUGUUUUUCCUUUCUCUGAGGCUCAGAGGACGUGGAACCCAGCAGUAUUCCUGGGAAGAGCUGUGCCUUGCUGCUCUCUGUGCAGAGCAAUGUGGCGGCACAGGCCGGGCUGUUUUUGCUAAAAACGGCACCGCUGGCCCUGAUUUAUGAGCAAACAGGAGUUUGCAAAGGGCCUCGGGAGCCUGGCCCAGAAAUCC